UACGAAGGGUGCAAGCGUUACUCGGAAUUACUGGGCGUAAAGCGUGCGUAGGUGGUUUGUUAAGUCUGAUGUGAAAGCCCUGGGCUCAACCUGGGAAUUGCAUUGGAUACUGGCAGGCUAGAGUGCGGUAGAGGGUAGUGGAAUUCCCGGCGUAGCAGUGAAAUGCGUAGAGAUCGGGAGGAACACCAGUGGCGAAGGCGACUACCUGGACCAGCACUGACACUGAGGCACGAAAGCGUGGGGAGCAAACAGG
RNAcentral lists this ribosomal RNA (253 nucleotides) under uncultured bacterium. RNAcentral's name for it is "partial 16S ribosomal RNA". It matches the Rfam family "Bacterial small subunit ribosomal RNA", at positions 524 to 776 of the family's 1533-position model. The record is from RNAcentral.